Molecule: ribosomal RNA, 454 nt
Filed under: uncultured bacterium
Lineage: Bacteria
Description: bacterial SSU rRNA
Rfam family: Bacterial small subunit ribosomal RNA
Source: RNAcentral
UACGGAAGGCAGCAGUGGGGAAUAUUGCACAAUGGGCGCAAGCCUGAUGCAGCCAUGCCGCGUGUAUGAAGAAGGCCUUCGGGUUGUAAAGUACUUUCAGUCGUGAGGAAGGUGUUAAGGUUAAUAACCUUAGCAAUUGACGUUAGCGACAGAAGAAGCGCCGGCUAACUCCGUGCCAGCAGCCGCGGUAAUACGGAGGGUGCGAGCGUUAAUCGGAAUUACUGGGCGUAAAGGGCACGCAGGCGGUUAAUUAAGUUGGAUGUGAAAUCCCCGGGCUUAACCUGGGAAUGGCAUUCAAGACUGGUUAGCUAGAGUCUUGUAGAGGGGGUAGAAUUCCAUGUGUAGCGGUGAAAUGCGUAGAGAUGUGGAGGAAUACCGGUGGCGAAGGCGGCCCCUGGGACAAAGACUGACGCUCAUGUGCGAAAGCGUGGGGAGCAAACAGGGAUUAGAUACC